AGGACGAACGCUGGCGGCGCGCUUAACACAUGCAAGUCGAGCGAGAACCAGGCCUUCGGGCCUGGGGAAAGCGGCGAACGGGUGAGUAACACGUGGGUAACCCACCCUUGGUACCGGGAUAGCCCGAGGAAACUCGGAUUAAUACCGGAUGGCCCAACAGCUUCUCGGAGCGGUUGGAAAAGGUAGCUUCGGCCUCCGACCAAGGACGGGCCCGCGGUGGAUUAGCUUGUUGGUGAGGUAACGGCUCACCAAGGCUUCGAUCCAUAGCUGGUCUGAGAGGACGAUCAGCCACACUGGGACUGAGACACGGCCCAGACUCCUACGGGAGGCAGCAGUGGGGAAUCUUGCGCAAUGGGCGAAAGCCUGACGCAGCGACGCCGCGUGGGGGAAGAAGGCUUUCGGGUGUAACCCCUUUCAGGAAGGACGAAGCCACUCGGGUUAAUAGCCCAGAGGGUGACGGUACUUCCGAGAAGAAGCCCCGGCUAACGUACGUGCCAGCAGCCGCGGUAA
Molecule: ribosomal RNA, 510 nt
Filed under: uncultured bacterium
Lineage: Bacteria
Description: SSU rRNA
Rfam family: Bacterial small subunit ribosomal RNA
Source: RNAcentral